RNAcentral lists this ribosomal RNA (241 nucleotides) under Bacillus sp. (in: firmicutes). Its description in RNAcentral is "Bacillus sp. (in: Bacteria) partial 16S ribosomal RNA". It matches the Rfam family "Bacterial small subunit ribosomal RNA", at positions 72 to 304 of the family's 1533-position model. The record is from RNAcentral. Lineage: Bacteria; Bacillati; Bacillota; Bacilli; Caryophanales; Bacillaceae.
AUGGGAGCUUGCUCCCUGAAGUCAGCGCGGACGGGUGAGUAACACGUGGGCAACCUGCCUGUAAGACUGGGAUAACUUCGGGAAACCGGAGCUAAUACCGGAUAACACCGAGGACCUCCAUGGUCCUUGGUUUGAAAGAUGGCUUCGGCUAUCACUUACAGAUGGGCCCGCGGCGCAUUAGCUAGUUGGUGAGGUAACGGCUCACCAAGGCGACGAUGCGUAGCCGACCUGAGAGGGUGAU